This 307-nucleotide unclassified non-coding RNA is filed under the name plant metagenome. Its description in RNAcentral is "partial contains 5.8S ribosomal RNA, internal transcribed spacer 2, and large subunit ribosomal RNA". The stretch from base 1 to 104 matches the Rfam family "5.8S ribosomal RNA", at positions 50 to 154 of the family's 154-position model. The record is from RNAcentral.
GAAAUGCGAUAAGUAGUGUGAAUUGCAGAAUUCAGUGAAUCAUCGAAUCUUUGAACGCACAAUGCGCCCUUGGUAUUCCAAAGGGCAUGCCUGUUCGAGCGUCAUUUGUACCCUCAAGCUUUGCUUGGUGUUGGGCGUCUUGUCUCUAGCUUUGCUGGAGACUCGCCUUAAAGUAAUUGGCAGCCGGCCUACUGGUUUCGGAGCGCAGCACAAGUCGCACUCUCUAUCAGCAAAGGUCUAGCAUCCAUUAAGCCUUUUUUUCAACUUUUGACCUCGGAUCAGGUAGGGAUACCCGCUGAACUUAAGC